UGUUCCCAGUAGAACUGUGCAGGACAGAACGACAGCCUUUGAAGCAAAGCUAUUUAAGCAUCCUUCAGUUUUGUUUUCCUUUUGAGCUGAUGCUGAUCCACCCCAACUGAAACGAUUUGUUAGAAGGGGGUCGAACUCGGUGACGUGUGUCUGAAAAUCUGAGGAGUUGCGCUAUCGGCUAAAAAUGGCAUUUCUCAAUUUGCUAAACAAUGUCAAAAUAGUCUGUGUGCCGGAGAGGAAGCCGAUUUAUUGCAAGGAAGCAAAAGACUUGGAAAGCAGCUAUGAGGCAUUUCACAAAUGGUGGAGACAAAAUAUUUCGGUUGUUGUCUGGUCUGUGUUUGGGAAUGUUUUCUGACUCUCAUGUUUGCUCAUGCACUGCCACUUUUUGGAUCUCAACACUUUGGCUUGGUUGGAGAUGGACUGUAAUCUUUCCAGUUCCCUGUGCGUAAGAGAAAUAUUUCCUUCCCAGUUCAAAUGUUCAGGUGGAUCCUCCAUCUGCAGAAUUCACUUCGAUCAAAAAAAAUAAAAGAAGUCGAGAGCUGCUGACCUGCAGGGCAUCUUUCAAGACGUGUUUGCUCAUUCGGGCUGUGUUGGAGGCUGUGGAUUGAACGGGAGGUCAGGAUUUUCCUCAGGGAAUUGAGCAGAAAGCCUGUUAAGUUGGUUUUACCAUUGGACACCCUCGGAAAGAUGCACAGCCGAAGGCGGAGGAGGCUUUGCAGUGUUUUGCUUUCCUUCUGCACUCACAGUCUGGUGCUGAGCAUCCCUCUGUUCGCAGCCGAGGAGGGCUCUGCCCCAGGGCUUCGCACCACUCGCUCCGUUUGCACGUGUAAACGCUGAGUGGGGCGGCUCCCACACCACGCAGCAGGAACAGUGGGCACAGUCCCUUUCCCAAAGGACACUGGUGGGAUAAAUCCAUUCAACAGCUGCAGAAGAGGAUCCGGAGAGCCUGUGUGGGGAUGCUCUGCUCUGUCCUGUCUGGCAUCCAGAGCCUGGGACAAGGCAAAGCCUCGUGUGGAAAGCAAAGUGCUGGAAAAAUGGAGUGGGAAAACUCUCUGGGGAGCGGCAGCAGGAAGGGGCAGCUGCAGCAGCGCACCUGAACAUAUGGCUGGCGGCCAGGAGAGAGCAAAGAGCGGCAAGGAGCCUGAUCCCAGCGGGAUGGAGCUGGGAGAGGUCUCCUCAGAGGCAGAGAAUCGCCAAGGGGAGGACAUCUCGAGCUGGAGCCGAAUAGGAGAGGAGGUGAGUAGAGCUGGGAUCUGUUCCUCCUGCGCUGGGACCUUCCCACCAGAGACCAUACCAGGGGAACACGGACCGAGCCUCCCUUUCAUCUAGGACUUUGCUGUUCUCUAGUUACUCUGUGGUUACAGGAACCGCGAGGCCAGAAGAGGGGAAGAAAAAAGCAAAGAUUAAAUUAAUGAGCAGCAGCAGAACACAUCUGAGGGAAUAUGCGAUGCGGAUGUGCCUGGACCCGAUUCCCACCUCCCAGCAACUCUGGUCAUCAUGUGCACCAGCACAGAGCACUGUGGGACCGGUGCCUGCAUGCAGGGGAAACAAAAACUUGGUGCUGGGGAGAGGAGAAGCCUAUUGGUGCCCUGAUCUCUGCAUCUCCCGGUUAUCUCUGGAAACGGGUAGCCUUUCAUUUCCAUGGAAAUCCUUUUGUCCCUGUACAGCCCUGCAACUGCACCGAGGAAAACGCCUGGUAAUUCAAGUUAAAGCCCAGCCAGGGCGAGCAGGCAGGGGCUUGCUGGAGUCUGCACCAUGUGAGCUGCGCACCAGCCAGUUCUCCAUCCUCUCCUGACCUUCCCCCUUUCCUCUUGUAUCAAAGCAUCCCCAGCGCACCUCUGUACAUGACCCACUUUUGUAUCCAGAGCAUCCACUUCUGUUUGAAAGCUCAUAAUGCUGCAGUAAUCCAGGAUGAUCAAAGAGUCCCGCAUCCACCCACAGGUACAACUAAAACAACCUGAAGCCCAGAGUGAGGUUGAUGGAAGAGAUGCUCUGGGCAGAGCACGCUACAGCACAUCCCUUUCCGAAGCACCGACAGCCCUUGAGCUCCGCUAGAGCAGAAAACAGAAACUGGGACGUGUCCCCGGGAAGCCCCAGCCUCGGCCUCACUGGGAAAUUCAAGCAGGAUGGCUGUGUGUGCCAAGUGCAGGAAACUCCUCUGUCCCUUGAAAGAAAGGAAGGAAUGAGUGAAGAAAUUUAGUGGUGGACCUUUGCAGAACAGGAGAAAUGGUCCCCAGGCUGCCUUGAAAGGAAGGAUGAGCCAUUUGCUGUUAUGGUGCUUUAUUGUGGCGACUCUGUGGUUUUGUACUGCUUGGAAAAACUCAUUUCCUGAGCCAAAUCUGUGAACUGUGGGUCUACACUUAAAGAAAUUAAACUCCUGCCUUGGCCCGUGCUCGUGGAGGAUUAAAAGCGUGAGCAGCGGCUCUUCAGUUGGCACAUCUGCGCAAUCUAUCCUUCCCCACCCUGUCGAAUGAUGAUGCAUCAAGUCCCACCGACAAAGAUCUAACAGGGGGUGUCCCCUGCCCACCCCAGAGCUCUGCUGCUUCUCACCAGGGAAAUCCUGGCUCAGGCUCUCUGCAAACACAGGCAGGAAAGCAGCAUCGGCUCCGGCUGCUUUUGCAGUCGGGGAAUGCUUUACUGCAAAUGACAGCCAGAGAACUACUUUAUUAUUUUAUUUUUAUGAUCUUUUUAAUGAAAGCUGAGGCUCUGGAGAAGGAUGGAGAAGCCUUUCGACGACCCCACCAAAUUCUCUCAUUACCCUUCAGGGAUGGGCAAACCCCCACGCUCAUAAACACUUGGCUCCCAGACAAGGCUCUACAUCAUAAACAUUGCCUCCUCGUUUGCACUAAUUGUCCUCCUUGUCACCACUCUUUGCAGAGUGACAAACGAUUUGGGUUUAAUGGAGAUCAAAUUCCCCGGUCACUCUUAAGUUAUCCCUCUUAAGCGAGGGAUGAGUCAGGAGAUGGGACAGGGCAUUUUGGGGAGCAACCUUCCAAAGAGAUGCUCCCUGUUUUCUACGUACCUGUGUCUUCCACAUCAGCGACUCCAGACCAAUAUUCCCCCGGGAUAUAUUUUCCCAGCUGAAGCCACAUUGUUGGCUAUAGUGGGAGCAACAUUUCUCCUUCCCCAUGCUGCAAGACCAAGCGAAGGCUCGAUAGAAUUAAAACGGAACGCAUUUAAAGCUGAUGCAAGUGCAGCAGGGAAGUUACCUGGGAAACUCAUGGCUGCAGGGUCAUUUUCCAGUAAUAGUUUGGUAAGGACUAAAACCGUGACCCAGUGUUACUUUAUUGAGUGGUCCAAGAGGCCAGAAGCUGGCCAGAAACAUCCCAAAAUCGAGGGUCUUGUUUACAGGAUGGAUUUCUGCCUGCUUGGCUCUUCAAACUAAAUAUUAAAGGAAAAAAAGGCAUUGAAUCCACCGGUCCUCAGCUGAAGGGAAAAGUAUCCCAGCAACCUUUUAUAUGUGAGGCAAAGAGCCCUUCUCCCCACGCCCAGGAGAGAGUGUGGCAGCAGGAUAGAGCCCCCGAUUGUCUCAAGCACUCACACAACACUUCCAGAGGAGUUUGCAGAAAAUCUUCCUUUACCAGAGGACACAAAGCAUCUUUGCCUGUUACAAACCUCAGAUCUAUAGAAAAAGAGAAGCCUAACAGAUGUGUGGCAGUGAGAGCAGGAGAAAGGAAAGAAUUGACCUUUGGCAGCAGCAAUAGCCAAGAGUUUCUUUAGAUAUCAACAAAAUAGACUUAGAAGAUUGCUGUUAAUGUGAUCUGAAAGAAAUGUUUUUCUUCCUCAAUCCCAAAUCCAUCAGUUUAAGCAAGAACUGAGGCACAGGAUGCAGCAACCGGGCUACACCAGCAUCAGUGCUCCUCAACUUGCCUUGCACCCUGCUGAGACCGAGCUCCAGCGCUGCAGGAACAGGAAUUACAGAGCAUCCCAACCACGUAAAGCAGGAGACUUCCCUGCUGCUCAUCAGCAGAGAGCCCUGAAAUGCCAGGAAAGCUGGGGAGGGGCUCUGGAUCAGGGAGUGCAGGGACAGGAUGAUGAGGGGGAUGGUUUUGAGCUGAAAGAGGGGAGAUUGAGGUGAGAUCUUAGGAAGAAAUGUUUUGCUGUGAGGGUGGAGAGGCCCUGGCCCAGGGUGCCCAGAGCAGUGGUGGCUGCCCCAUCCCUGGAGGGGUUCCAGGCCAGGUUGGAUGGGGCUUGGAGCCCCUGAUCCAGUGGGAGGUGUCCCUGCCCAUGGCAGGGGGUGGAACUGGGUGGGCUUUGAGGUCCCUUCCAACCCAACCGAAACCAUUCAGUGAUUCUGUGAUUCUAUGAACCUGGCAUCAAGACCCCCCUGACCUAAGAGCAGCGUGCUGGCCCCUGUGUUGGUCACGAUGACUGUCACAUCCGAGACUUUCUUCUCCCUCAGAAAACAAAAAAAGCACCACGCUUUACCUGGAAGGUUUGUCAGGAAGGAAAUCAAACAACCCCCUCUUCAAAAAUUAUCUCAGAGAGUUAAUGAUGUAACGAGACUGAAAGAUCCAGCUGGCUGAAAAAAAACUCUUCCAGCUGAGAUUCGCUAACAGCCUCCUGGAGCCGGGAAGUUAUUAAAAUAUCUUGCCCCAGGGAAGGGCCCCGCGCUGUGUUCCCAGCUCCCGUCACCCAGAUGAGGAUUCUGUGAUUUUCUGAGGUGGAUUCAUUGCAAUAAAAGAAUCAGAUUGUGUUUUUUUUUUUUUUUUUUAAGAAAAUACAUCCCUAACUUAGCUCCUCUGCCUGAUUUUCUUAUUCUCUGUUUUCUAGCUGCACCUGCAAUAAAAUGGAAUGGUGAUUUCCCGUGCUUAGAAAGCAUCUCUCAUGUUAGGGUGCUUAGCAGGUGGGCGCCUCCGAGCACCGUGAUGUGCAGCGUGCGGCUCCAGGAAGGUUUCAGCAGAGCAAGGAGGAAGGGGAAGGGUCCUGGGUGAGGCGUUCGGCACCCACUUAGGCAUCCCUCAGCCUCUGCGUCUGUCGGGGUUUAAGCCCGAAAUGAAGCAUUUGGAAUGUAGCCCCUACGCUGACCGCUGACAUCGCGGUGUUGGCAGGGGAGGGAAGUGGAGCGGUGAAACCGAGCCACCAAAACCUUUCAUGUAGAGCACUUAAAGCAGCAAUGCUGUGAUUAGCGGGAGCGUCCUGCUCAUGUGAGGUGAUUUUAUUAUGCUGUUUUAGCAGACGGCGUUGAGAACAUGAACAUGACCUUGUCCACACGAAGAGGACACAGCUGCGUCCCUGGAAAGGCAACCGGUGAGGGAAGGGAUCUGCCUUGCUUGCGACUUACCUGCCUUCCAAACCGUAUUAGUGCCUUAGGAAGAGAACGAAGGAAAAAAGACAUGAAAAGAUGGCAUUUGGUCACUCCAAGGACACUGGGGAUGGACGAGAAGAAAUCGGUUGAACUCAGUGGAAAUCGGAUCUGCUGGUCUGCUGUUGGAUUGCUACAGGAGGGGUGCUGGAACCAGCUGCCAGGGAAGGGUGAGGGUCUCCACGAGCCCAGGGCUGUGUCAGUGUAGGGUUGUGUGCUCCCUGAGGUCCUGUCCUGCAUGGAAGCAACCAUGGGAAUUGUCCUUUCCCACAGAGCACUCACCCAAAGUUUGGGUCGCAAGCUCUAACCUGCUAAAUAUCACAUAAACAAAGAGACAGAUGUGAUAAUUGCAGAGCAAAGGCUGCUCCUGCCUUGGGAGCAUCGCUCCUCCACUGCCAGAGCCCAGCAGCUGCACAGGGCUGGCUCUGCGUUUUCCUAGGGACCUGCUCAGAUGGCUGUGUGUGUGCUCGGUGUGGCAGCGGGACCCCAGCUAAGCCCACCGGAGAGGCACACCAGGCUGAGUGAACCAGCCGAAGGAACCUAAGGUGGUUGACACGGCUUCCUACCAAAGCGUGGGACCUUGGGAAGAGGUGGCUGCAGCACAGCUCCCUGCCUUCCCAGCAGGAUCUGGCCCUGAGGAGCCACCGCUGCAGGAGUUCUGGGCUGCCCUGCUCCAUCCUCUGGGUCCGGGCUGUGCAGAGAUGGGAGCAGUGUCCUCAGCUAUGGCUUUUCCCAAAAGCCAUGUUUUUUUCCCUAAAGCACUGCCCUCUGUUUAGUGCCGGGAGCGGAGCCCACUGUGCCUCGCUCCGUGGAUGGCAGCUGGAGCUCAUCCUCCUUAGAUGAUCCCGGGUAACCUGUUGGGCUGUAAAUCGCUUCCUGCUGAGCCCCCGUAACACACAGAUUGGAGGUAACUUUACUCCAGAGAGCCAAUUAGUACAAAUCUAGGCCUGGUAAUUACAGCGUGAUAAGAUCCCGGCUGCUGAUAUCUCUGGGCAGAUAAGGCACCAGGAAGCAAUCUCUUAAUGCAAUGGCAGUUAUUACUACAGCUUCACCUCUGUCCUGCAAAGCCCUUGGGAAGUUCAUCACCAGGCACUGCGCUGGGACCACAGCAGGAAAGGAGCUGCAGCUGCCCACGCAGAGGGUGGAUGUUGCCCCACAACAGCUCGUCCCUGCUCGAGCCUCUGCACAGAGAUGGAAAUCUGCUCCUUGGCUUGCAAAGUCCUAUCUCAGUUCUCCUGGUAGUGGGAAAACUACAGCAGGCAAGCGUUUAUCUGCUGGGGCUUUGCUCUGUGCCUGGUGGGAACUGGAGCUGCUGGGGGGAGCCCAGAGGGUUUCUGCAAGCCCACGGAGGAGGGAUGCACGCUGGUGCUAGGAGAGCUGGAAACCCCUUGGUGUUGGCUUUAUUUUAGUUGUGGGAGCUCUGGCUGAUUCCUUGGUUUACACUUCCCGCUACCAGGGGAUAAGGAGUGGUGGGUCCAGAGCAGAUUUGGUUGUGGGGAGGGGAAAAGCCCAGGAAAGAUUCCCUACCUGGAGCUAUGGACUAUGGCUGCAUACAAGGGAAAAUCAUAUUAGGAGGUCUUCGCGUCUUUGGAGCGUGCGAUGCACUUUGAUGCACUUUUCAGAACGAUAACGCGUUGCCCCAUCUGUGAAUCUCGGGGUAAUUUGCAAACCGUCCCCGAUUUGUCCUCUUACUCCCAGCCCACAGCAAUAAAAGGAGACAAUUUUUCCCAUGUUACUAAACCUGAGGCUUGCGCAUCUCGCUUAGAGAUGUGCAAAGGGACUGGAGCUUUUGUAGAUUCUGUUGGUAUAAACUGGGAUGAAUUCAGAUAAAGCCAU
This is a long non-coding RNA of Cuculus canorus (common cuckoo), 7141 nucleotides long. RefSeq lists it as uncharacterized. Lineage: Eukaryota; Metazoa; Chordata; Aves; Cuculiformes; Cuculidae. The transcript is spliced from 5 exons. The record is from RefSeq and is a predicted model, not a curated record.